GAAUGCCGGUAUGAGUAGCGCAAGAUAAGUGAGAAUCUUAUCCACCGUAAGACUAAGGUUUCCAGGGGAAGGCUCGUCCGCCCUGGGUUAGUCGGGACCUAAGGCGAGGCCGAAAGGCGUAGUCGAUGGACAACUGGUUGAUAUUCCAGUACUAGAUAUGAUCGUGAUGGAGGGACGCAGUAGGCUAAGAGAUGCCAGUUAAUGGAUUCUGGUCUAAGCAGUGAGGUGUGAGAUGUGUCAAAUGCAUUUCUCUUUAACAUUGAGCUGUGAUGGGGAAGCAACUACGGUUGCGAACUCUCUGAUGUCACACUGCCAAGAAAAGCUUCUAGCGUAAAGUCAUAUCUACCCGUACCGCAAACCGACACAGG
RNAcentral lists this ribosomal RNA (368 nucleotides) under Bacillus cereus. RNAcentral's name for it is "bacterial LSU rRNA". It matches the Rfam family "Bacterial large subunit ribosomal RNA", at positions 1292 to 1663 of the family's 2925-position model. The record is from RNAcentral. Lineage: Bacteria; Bacillati; Bacillota; Bacilli; Caryophanales; Bacillaceae.